This 66-nucleotide transfer RNA is filed under the name Pegosomum asperum. RNAcentral's name for it is "tRNA-Thr". Lineage: Eukaryota; Metazoa; Platyhelminthes; Trematoda; Plagiorchiida; Echinostomatidae. The record is from RNAcentral.
GGUUAAUUAGUUUAGAAGUGAGAAUGCUGUUUUUGUAAAACAGAGGGGUCUUAUAGGCAUUUUCCA